Choloepus didactylus (southern two-toed sloth) is the source of this 454-nucleotide long non-coding RNA. RefSeq lists it as uncharacterized. The record is from RefSeq and is a predicted model, not a curated record. NCBI's taxonomy places the organism in Eukaryota, Metazoa, Chordata, Mammalia, Pilosa, Megalonychidae. The transcript is spliced from 3 exons.
UGACAAGGUUGAAUAUAUUUUUGUUUAUCUAUAGGAUGGUGUCUGUAUGUUCUGCUGCCCAUAAAAAUGAUGAUGCAGAAUGUUGCACAAUGUUAUGGAGAUGCCUGUGGCACCUGGCCAAUUGAAAACUGCAGGAUGCCAGGCCGACAAGGAACAAAGUCCUCUGAUUUGUUGAGCAUUCUCCAGAGACCUGUUUCCAUGGUUCCUUGGUUGAAACGGACUGUCUCCUUCCUGUUUCACCCUGAACAAAUCUAUGCCUCCAUGUCAGACUCAUCUUUCCAAGGCAAGCACCAAAGAUCCCACUGGGGGAGAUCACUCAUCUUCCUUGGAGGACAGAAGUGCAUACUGAUCUGCACUUCUGCUUUACAUUACUCAAGUUUAGUUCUGCACCCAUAUAUGGAUACGAGAGAAAGAGGAAAGACCCACACUAAGUACCUAAAGGGUUGCAGCUCCA